This 379-nucleotide ribosomal RNA is filed under the name uncultured eukaryote. Its description in RNAcentral is "partial 18S ribosomal RNA". It matches the Rfam family "Eukaryotic small subunit ribosomal RNA", at positions 592 to 976 of the family's 1831-position model. The record is from RNAcentral.
CAAUAGCGUAUAUUUAAGUUGUUGCAGUUAAAAAGCUCGUAGUUGGAUUUCGGAUGGGACUUGCCGGUCCGUCGUUUCGAUGUGCACUGGCCAGUCCUAUCUUGUUGUCGGGGACUAGCUCCUGGGCUUCACUGUCCGGGACUAGGAGCUGACGAGGUUACUUUGAGUAAAUUAGAGUGUUCAAAGCAAGCCUACGCUCUGAAUACAUUAGCAUGGAAUAACACGAUAGGACUCUGGCUUAUCUUGUUGGUCUGUGAGACCAGAGUAAUGAUUAAGAGGGACAGUCGGGGGCAUUCGUAUUUCAUUGUCAGAGGUGAAAUUCUUGGAUUUAUGAAAGACGAACUUCUGCGAAGGCAUUUGUCAAGGAUGUUUUCAUUAA